AUACGUAGGGGGCAAGCGUUAUCCGGAUUUACUGGGUGUAAAGGGAGCGCAGACGGCAUUGCAAGUCUGAAGUGAAAGCCCGGGGCUUAACUCCGGGACUGCUUUGGAAACUGUAGCGCUAGAGUGCAGGAGAGGCAAGUGGAAUUCCUAGUGUAGCGGUGAAAUGCGUAGAUAUUAGGAGGAACACCAGUGGCGAAGGCGGCUUGCUGGACUGUAACUGACGUUGAGGCUCGAAAGCGUGGGGAGC
This 247-nucleotide ribosomal RNA is filed under the name uncultured bacterium. RNAcentral's name for it is "partial 16S ribosomal RNA". It matches the Rfam family "Bacterial small subunit ribosomal RNA", at positions 523 to 769 of the family's 1533-position model. The record is from RNAcentral.